RNAcentral lists this ribosomal RNA (581 nucleotides) under uncultured beta proteobacterium. RNAcentral describes it as "bacterial SSU rRNA". It matches the Rfam family "Bacterial small subunit ribosomal RNA", at positions 56 to 634 of the family's 1533-position model. Lineage: Bacteria; Pseudomonadati; Pseudomonadota; Betaproteobacteria. The record is from RNAcentral.
UGCAGUCGACGGCAGCACGGGGGCAACCCUGGUGGCGAGUGGCGAACGGGUGAGUAACACAUCGGAACGUGUCCUGUAGUGGGGGAUAGCCCGGCGAAAGCCGGAUUAAUACCGCAUACGACCUGAGGGAGAAAGCGGGGGAUCUUCGGACCUCGCGCUAGAGGGGCGGCCGAUGGCGGAUUAGCUAGUUGGUGGGGUAAAGGCCUACCAAGGCGACGAUCUGUAGCUGGUCUGAGAGGACGACCAGCCACACUGGGACUGAGACACGGCCCAGGCUCCUACGGGAGGCAGCAGUGGGGAAUUUUGGACAAUGGGGGAAACCCUGAUCCAGCAAUGCCGCGUGUGUGAAGAAGGCCUUCGGGUUGUAAAGCACUUUUGUCCGGAAAGAAAACUUCCGCCCUACUACGGUGGGAGGCUGACGGUACCGGAAGAAUAAUCACCGGCUAACUACGUGCCAUCAGCCGCGGUAAUACCUAUGGUGCGAGCGUUGAUCGGAAUUACUGGGCGUAUAGCGUGCGCAGGCGGUUUGUUAGGACAGAUGUGAAAUCCCCGGGCUUAACCUGGGAACUGCAUUUGUGACU